RNAcentral lists this ribosomal RNA (467 nucleotides) under uncultured bacterium. RNAcentral describes it as "partial 16S ribosomal RNA". It matches the Rfam family "Bacterial small subunit ribosomal RNA", at positions 330 to 794 of the family's 1533-position model. The record is from RNAcentral.
GCCAGACUCCUACGGGAGGCAGCAGUGAGGAAUAUUGGUCAAUGGGCGCGAGCCUGAACCAGCCAAGUCGCGUGAGUGAGGACGGCCCUACGGGUUGUAAACCUCUUUUGCCGGGGAGCAAGGGCGGGGACGUGUCCCGGCCCGGAGAGUGCCCGGAGAAAAAGCAUCGGCUAACUCCGUGCCAGCAGCCGCGGUAAUACGGAGGAUGCGAGCGUUAUCCGGAUUUAUUGGGUUUAAAGGGUGCGUAGGCGGGCUUUUAAGUCAGCGGUAAAAAUUCGGGGCUCAACCCCGUCCGGCCGUUGAAACUGGGGGCCUUGAGUGGGCGAGAAGAAGGCGGAAUGCGUGGUGUAGCGGUGAAAUGCAUAGAUAUCACGCAGAACCCCGAUUGCGAAGGCAGCCUUCCGGCGCCCUACUGACGCUGAGGCACGAAAGUGCGGGGAUCGAACAGGAUUAGAUACCCGGGUACU